Elaeis guineensis (African oil palm) is the source of this 1012-nucleotide RNA transcript. RefSeq lists it as uncharacterized. The record is from RefSeq and is a predicted model, not a curated record. NCBI's taxonomy places the organism in Eukaryota, Viridiplantae, Streptophyta, Magnoliopsida, Arecales, Arecaceae.
GAGACAAUUAAGUCGACCCAAUUCCCCGGUUUGGUGCCCGGUCCGGUCUGGCUUCUACGGCGAAAAGAGCUGGAGCCUGGAGGCGUGAGAGGAAGAGCGACAGCUCAAAGCUAAACCUCGGGCGAUGGCGGCGUCUUUGUUCCGGCGAGUUUCGUCCCACCUGGCGCGUCUUCCUCGUCCUCUCCUUCCCUCCGUCUCUCUCGAGAAUCCCUUCGCGCAGGCCCCUCCUCCAGCGGCUCCCUCCCUUCCCAACUUCUCCUUCGGCGGCGCCAUGGAGCUCAUGGCCGUCCCGAAGAAAAAGGUUUCUCGCCAUAAGAAGGGAUUAAGGAAUGGACCGAAGGCUCUGAAACCUGUUCCAGUGAUUGUCCGAUGCAACAAGGGAGCUCGAGUGGAGGAAGACUUCCAUGGUACUCUGAAAGUCUUCUAGGAAAGACUGAAGGACCUAACCAACCAAUGGGGCCCAUAGGACAGAGCAGUGGUUCAAAUGAGUUACCGGCAGUGUUCUGCAACAGUGGAAACUGAAGCAGAAGAGCAGUGGAAUCUGGAGUUGUGGUCGAGUUAAGCUGCCUCACUUCUACUGCUGCAGUGGGGAUAGAGGGAGCGGUGGUCCCUCAAGUUGAGAAGACAAUUCUUGGCAAUGAUAAAAGUCAGCAUGCUAGAUGAAAGCUGAGAAUUUUGACAUUAACAAAACAAAUAUUGGAAAUUUGUUUUCUUGUAACAGAUAGGAUAUAUAUGGAAGGCCUGGCAUGGUACCAAUAGUCCUCUUAAGAGCAACUCUGCUUCAGGUUCACAGUUGCUUCUAUUAGUCGUAUGGUUGUUUUCAUGUGCAAAUUUCCGAUUUUCCAUUUGAAGGGAAGAUGUUCAGUGUCUCUGACAUGUUUAUUAUUAGCGAUCAUGUUUUGUGUUUCAAUUUCAUUUCCUGCUGUACUUGGUAUAGGAGUGGAUGACUAUUAUCUUUGUUGUCCUCAACUUCACUUUUUCUUUUGCUUAUUGAAAUCCUGGAUUGUUAUCA